Homo sapiens (human) is the source of this 10301-nucleotide long non-coding RNA. Ensembl annotates it as p53 upregulated regulator of p53 levels. Its record names the gene PURPL. NCBI's taxonomy places the organism in Eukaryota, Metazoa, Chordata, Mammalia, Primates, Hominidae. The record is from Ensembl.
GCCUUGCAAAGGGGAGGAGCCUGCCCUCUUGAGCUCUUGUGGUGACCUGGGAAUCAAUGUGUGAGGUGGUGCUAUGUAGCAGGAACCCCUCUUGCUUUGCAAAUAGUUUUUUGUUUGUUUUCCUUUUUGCCCAAUAGAGCCCUGCUCUACUGACCCUUCAAUGUGCCCGUGUGCCUAAAUAUUCCUGGUCGUGUGAAAAGAACCCAGGUAUUAGCUGAACUAAGGAGCACAAUUCUGCAACAUUUUGGCACCCAAACACGGGGCUUGAGAAAUGAAUGCAAUUGGAGAAACUGGUUGUUUUACCAGGCGUUGAUUGGAAAUGUGUGCUUCCCUUUAAGCAGUCAAGCUCAACUUGCAGAACUGAUGGGAACCCCUUGGGAAAACUGGCCUCAAAUGUUUGUCUACACAGUCCACAUACAGGGUUCUUAACCUGCGGAAACACUUUCUGAAAAUGUCAGAACUCUUGAAAACAUGGAUGAGGAAAAGCAUAAGUACUGCUUUAUGCUUUUCUUAUGAAUUUUAAAAGAUGUAAUUUAAAGGUACUUUAAAGUGAUAUUUGUGCCCUUGUAACUGAUUCAAAGUAGACUGCUAAGGACAAUAAGUAAUAAGAGUCUACAAAUAUCAGUAAAUUAUGAGAAAAAACGGUCUAAUGGUACUUAAAAUUGCAUUGUGAUUUAUUAAAUAACAUUGAACAGCUCCACCUGUAACAUUAAGAUUCCAUUUGAGCAUAUAGAAAAUAUAUUUAUCGCAACCUGAAGUGAUUUGGAAAGUAUGCUGGGAAGAAAAUAUAUUUACAAAUUAGUCUCAGAGGGUAGGUAUCCUGUAGCCAGAUGGAAUAAGAAGAGAGGGAAGGGAGAUUUUGUUCAAAGGGGGAGCAUAAGCUAAGGAAUAAAGCCACAAACAAUGAUUAAAUUAGGUAAAGUGCAAUUAGCUGAAUAUUGCAUAAGCAUACAUAUGGGAAGAAGUGGAAAAAGGAGUGACAAUAUGAAGCUAAAGGGUUUGAAGUGUUCAAGAUAAUACUAGGCUUCCUAGCCUAUUCCGAGACAUCUUGUUUUAGAGUGCAAUAGAUAAGAACUCUAAGGAUGAAAGUAGGAGACAUGCAUUCUAGUCUACGUUUUGGUUAAUGGACUGAAAGUGAAAGAUGGACUGAAAUUGGGGGAUGGAAUAAAAAUGUGAUAGAAUAGAAAAUAGAAAAAGCAAUUAGCCUAAUGUCAUUGAUACUUAGAGAAAAUAUGGAAAAUAGUAAAUUAGUGAUAUAUAUCUUUUCUAAUUCACCAGGGUGAGUGAACAAAGGAAAUCGGAUUUAAAAGUAUUCAUGACAUAGAUGCAAUAAGGUUUCUCAGUCAGACAUAGCAAAUUGAGGGAAGGGAAGAUUUAGAGGAUUGGAAAAUGUCUUGCUUGUAGACUAAUAGGAUAUCAAUAAGCCAUAUGAGCAAUAAUUUGAAAUAGUUUUUGUAAAGUAUCAUGAAGGUAAACCCUGUUUAGAACAAAUUAGAUUUGAAGUACUUGUGACAAAUGCAAUUGACAAUGCCUUUAUGCAGCUGGAAAAUUGUUGCUUAGCAGAAAAGCUUGUGCUGGACAAAUAGAUGUCCAAAUUGAAUAGAUGUUUUCUUAAGCUGAACUAAUUGAGACAAAUAUCCUUAUUAAAUCAAAAAAUUAAAAAUUGAAAUAACUUACCUAUGAUAGGGUAAAUAAUGUUAUUAAUAUACACAAGAAAUAUGUGAUGUAUAUGUGUAUGUACAUAUGUAUACAUAGUAAUAAUACAUAGUGCUAUUUUUAAAUGAUAUUUUACAUAGUGCUUUUUUAAAUGAUUUUUCAAUCAUCGUUGUUGGUCUGUGUUAUUUUAAUCAUCAAAGCUGAUUGAUUUCUGUUUUUGUGUUUUUUUUUGUUUUUUUUGAGGUGGAGUCUCACUCUGUCACCCAUGGUGGAGUACAGUAGUGCGGUCUUAGCUCACUACAAACUCCACUUCCCUGAUUCAAGUAAUUCUUGUGCCUCAGCCUCUCGAGUAGCUUGGAUUGCAGGCAUGCACCACCACGAGCUGCUAAAUUUUUUGUAUUUUUUGUAGAGGGGUUUUGCCAUGUUGGCCAAGCUGGUCUCAAACUCCUGACCUCAAGUGAUCCGCCCUGGCUUCCCAAGCCCAGCUGAUUCCUGUUUAAAUAAAAACUUACAAAGAUCUUCCCACAAGUACUUUAUCUUACAAUUUACUGAACAAUAGAGGCAGUGAAGAUGUUUUUCAGAAAGCAAUUGUGAUCCUGACAUUUUCUUCUUAUAAUCCUGUGCUUUCCUCAUUUUUUUAUAUUAAAAGUAAUAGUUCUUGUGAUGGCAACUAGGAUUUGUAACAACAUGUACCCUCAUUUCCUGCAUGACCUUUUUUAUGUCACUUCUUCACAUGCAAAGUAUACUCCCUCAGUGUCAUUACAUUAUUUGAUUUUUGCCCUUUCCCUCACCUUUCCAUGUGUUUAUUUGCCUAUGCCCAUCUCCUAGUCACAUUUUAUCUAGUUAACGCCAACUUGACUUUCAAUGCUGUUCAAGAUUUACCUCAAUCUCAAGUGUUUUCUCUUUAUAUUCCAUACACGCUUAGCUUGGCUGCCAAUCCUCUUGGCUGCCAAAGAAUCCCAAAUUAUCUCUUUCAAAAAUACAAGAAAUAAAGGAUGGAGGAUAGGAAGGAGGGUGGUCAGGAAAGAACAAAGAAAGGAGGGGAGAGGAAAAAAAGAGAGAAAGAAAGAGAAUUAAAGUUAAGGAGGAAGAAUUUCACACUGAAUUAAAAUUGAUAAUAUUCAGGAAUGAUUUUAUAGUAGGCAUACAUUGAUAAAUAUUAGUUAAAUUAAUGAAUUAUUCCAAAAGAUCAUGAUUUGUAAAAAUUACCCUGAAGCACUUUAGGAAUAUUACAUUGAAAUAGGUAUGCAAUUUCUAAAGAAACUGGACUGCAAAAAUAGCCAUUGUGUGUACCUGUGGACCAGAAUAUUAUAUUUUGCUUAAGUUUGAAGUGUUAAAGUGCCCAACGUGCUCUUAUUUUAACCUAGCAAAUUUUCAGCAGAACUUAAGCUCAUAUAGUAUUUGAUUUUUUCAUUUCUCACAACUGUUGGAAUUCUGUUUUAUUGAAAAUUAUACAAUAAAAUGUUAAAAAAUCUUUGUUCCUGCAGUUAUGCAAUCUUAUGCCAAAGUCAAUAAAUUAUUAAAUUAAAAUCAAACCCACUAAGCCUAACAAUUUGAGAAAAUGAUUAUUAAAACAUAUACCAUUUAGAAGGGCAAUGCCUUUUUAAUAUUAUAGUGAAGACAACCCUAUCAAUUAUUUAAUACACCAAGAAUACAAGGAUAUAAAAUCUUUUUCUCUCAUAUAUCACAUUAUCUGAUGUAUUUAGCUGUGAUGACAUUCCAGAAAACAUCACUUUUUAAAAUUUCUAAGAUUUUAUUAUGUUGCUAGCAAAUCGAUUUUUUUCAAGUACUGUAACAAAAUCCCUAAAUGGGCUUUAUGAGAACUAUUUUCAGUGUGAUAUUAAUCAUAUUUUAUUUAUCAUCCAUACAUAGAUGGUAGCUUAUCUGGUAUUCCUAGUGUUUGAAGUGAAGAGUAACACACACACACAUCCCAAUACCAAUUUAAUUGAUAAAUAUAUAAUCAUUUGUUUUCAAAUAUUUAUGUUGAUACUUGCUUGUGUACUUACUUGUAAUGUAGGUCUGUAAAAGGGACUGUUUUCUUUCUGUGAAACUGAAGCUUAAAGCAGUGCUUGUCACAAAUUCAAAAUCACCUUGCUUUGUCAACAUUUUCAGAUGUUUUUGGCUCAGUCUGAUGACAGCAUCAGUGCAGUAAAGGGAUCUUAUUGAAAUGUUUUAACUAAAGAUAAAAUGCCACCACUAGGAGAAAAAUAAAAUCAAGGAAAUAAACAGAAAAUCAAUAAAUGUGAAAUGUAUUAUAAAUUUAUAUAAUAACAAUGUUGUAUGCUAUAAACAUCUCACUUUGUAAAAUUAACAAGAAUUCAGUGAGGCAGAUCAUUUUCUAUGUGUUCAGAAGUCAAGUCUUUGAUGGCUAAUUUUUAUAUUACUUCAUUACAAUAUCUCUACUGAAGCAAAAUAAUUGCAAAUCUUUUUGAAUGAAAUCAAUUUAUCUUUAAUUUUAGAUAAUAUUUGGUAUAGUUGGCAUAGUUUUGUCACAAAGCAUAGCUAACAUCAAUGUAGCCUUACGACUUCAAAUGUCUUUAUAGAUCUUUUCUGAAAUUGCAAAAUUUUACUUUGAAAUUAUUGUUAAUAUUUACGUUGCACAACCACAAAUGUAGAAAUAAAAUUAUAAAGUCUCCAGAUAAUGUUUUAUUUUAACCACACAUAUGUUGUGAUAGUUUCAAAUAAAUGAAAGCUCUACUGAUUUAUCAUUUUCAACAUCUUUACAUUAUUUAAGUAAUAUUAAUUAUAUUUAUGUAAAAAUACCUGAAUAGUCAUAACGAAAAUUUAAUAAUAAUGUAUAAUAUAUUGUUAACAUCUUUUAUUUUCACAAAAACACCAAGGAAGAAGCAGUGAGUAUUUUUUAUUUAUUUUAAAAAUUAACUUUUCAAUAAAUUAUUUAGGAAUGACUGGAAAUGUGCUGAGACAAAGAAGCAGUUGUCACUGUACACAAACAUGAAAUCAAUUACCUUUUGGAGAGUUUAUGAUGUGUGAGAGCUAGUGAAGUUACAUUGCAGAAGAGCAUAUAAGGAAAUCCAGAUCUGUAUAUAUUGUAGUAUAGUUUUAGUAUAAAUCUCUAAGAUUACACUUUAGACUAAGCCACAUAGUCAAACUGUUGUCUAUUUAUUCCUUUUGAAGAUUGAAACUCCCACAACUUUGGCAGACCAACUCCUCAGAAAACAUUAUUCUUUGACAUCAAUAUGUUUUGCACAAAAUUGAAUGGCAAGUGAAAGGCAUCAAAUGGUGAGAAUCUAGAAAAUAGUGCAUGUACGGGAAGGCUUUGCUCAAUACAAAUCACUUGCAUGGGACAGUCUUCUUUAGUGAGUUUAUUAUAUACGGGAACAGAGAGGUAAUAUGAAAUGGAAUAUGGAAUAUGGCACUAGCAAGCACAAAUAUUCAAAUAUGUGGAGGAACAACUGGAUGUGAUAAAACACUAUAAAAAAAAUAGAGAGAAAAAUGACAGUAGGAAAAAGACUGUAUAUAUUUUUUGAGAAUAAAAGAUAGUUUCAUUUCAUUGGUGGACAUGAGAUGAGUUGAUGCAGCAUGCAGGUGGAUACCAUUUUUUUCAAAGAAAAUAUGAACAGAGUCUCAAAUAAAUAACAAAUGUUUAUAUGUGGGUUUCAAGGACAGAGAAUAAUAAAAUAACCAAAUAUACAUAAUGUUCCAGUAAAAUGAUCCAUCAGGGCUUACAGAAAGCGUAACUAGAGAGAGACAUUAACUUGCAGAUGAUUUGUUUCUGGCUAAUGUUGUGACAGGAGUGUAGCAUUUCCUUUCUUCUCAGUUUCCUAUCUCACUUACCUUUUGAAAAGACAUGAUUCCAUAUUAUAUUUAUUCUGUUUCUCUCUUUCUUUAUUCAUUUACCCUACUUUACUGAAAAAUCUCAAACAUCAUAGAAACAUGCAUGUCUUGGUUCUCCAAGUUUGAAAGGAAAAUAAUGUAGAAAGCUCUGUUUUUUUUGCCCUGGCAUUUAUAUACUCUCCAAUCUCACUACUCCCAUAUCACUCUUCUACCUCUCUUAGAGCAAAAUUGCCUCUUAAAAAAGGACAUUGCACCCAGCAUGGUGGCUCAUGCCUGUAAUCCCACAACUUUGGGAAAUUGCGCCAGUGCACUCCAGUCUGGGAGACAGAGCGAGACUCCAUCUAAAAAAAAAAAAAAAAAAAAAGUACAUUGCUGAUUCCAUUUCAGCAUCACUCAAUUACCAUUCUCUAACUGUCUCUGAUUUGUCUUUACCAAAAGCCACAUCUGGCAUAAUUGGCAAAAGACUUUUUUUUUUUCCCCACCAUUCCAAUGAACACAAAAAUGACAUUCUCAACAUCAAAUCAAAUGAUCACAUUUUUAUUCAUAUUUUACUCCAACUGAAAUGAAGGAUAUAACUAAUUUGUCCAUUUUUCUUUAAGCACAUAUCUGUAUUCAUUUUGAUAACCCAGCACUCUUGAUUGUUCCCUUACUGAAUGUUUGUCUCUUAGUAUCCUUUGCCCAUUCUACUCCUUUAAAAAAACUGUUGCAGUAACCAAAGAGUUAUUUUUGAUUCCACUUCUUUGUCAAACUAAAGUCAGCUCUUUGAGGCUUCUGGAUUUUGAUAUUAAAUAUGUGUUUAGCAGUUCAAAUUUUAUAUAUGUAUAUUCUAGCUCAGAUCCAGAAAUCUAUUUCCUUCUUAUCAUUCUCACUUGGAUUCCUCAAGCAAUUUAACAUGCUCUAAAUAUUUCUUCCAUGUUUAUUUAGGUUUCAACUCUACAUACAGAAUAGACUAAUUUAAUAAUUUUAUACAAUCCUUGGCCUUUUACUUUAUAUGAUCUUCUACAUCCAAUAGAAGGUUGUUCAGUUAAACCUUAAAAACCUAUCGCACACUUUUUAAUUCUCUGAAUUUUCAUCAACACCACGGUAGAAACCUCCUCAAUACAGAGUUUUGUAAUAAUUGCUCUUUAAAUUCCCACCAUGAUAUGUUACUAUAUAUUCUGCUCAGAAUGAAAAGGUUCACUAUAAAACAUGGUUUAAAAAAACAAACAUUGAUUUCUCUGCUUCAGGAGUUUCCUUUCCUAUGGUAGAUGAAACUAGGUACAAUAAUUUGUUGUUUGUUUUGGAGAGCUGUCAAGGCAUGCUCCAUGGCCUCUGAAACUAGGUAGAUUGUAUCACAUACACUCCAGACCAACAUACUUGCUACUUUCUGAUUUGAUUGGAUUAACACGAUGUCAACAAUAUAGUGGAACAAUGUGAUAUUCUUGUCAGGUACAGUCUCUUUGGACUAUGUCAGACAAAUGGCAUGAGAGUUAACAUAGUCCUCGAGCUAAUUCAUAAAUGUAUAUUGUUACCAUUUUACAUAAAUGUAAUCGUUGAUGCCCUUAUUUUCUCAGAGGGGUGGGGGAAAAUUGCUAUUCCCACAUUAAUGUCUGUAUGUUAGUGAAUCUGAGUGAGUGCCAAUCUACUUGAGCAAAUAAACAUCUGGAAUAGCAGCUGUAAUUGGAUCUAUGAUUUUCUUGAAUUUGCAUUCAUUUACUUUUAUUCUCCAGAGUGCUUUUGUAAGGGUCACACUGGUAAAUCAAAAAGAGGAUGUAAUGAGGGAAUAUCACCUGUGUCAUUUUUUCAAGAAUAUCCAAUCUCAUAUUUUCCCCUGCCACACAAUACUAUAUUACUUUUGACACAAUAUGUUGAGUAGGAAGCAGCACUUAUUGAUAAUUCUACUUGCCCUUCUUCACUACUGCAGAUCUCACCCUACUAACCAAGGAACAAAUAUGAACAUUUUUUUCAGCUGACAGAAUAUAAUGUUUAUUCCAAUUAUACAUUUGUGAAAAAGGGAAGUGAAAAUAAGUCUUUUGAGCCAGUGGACCCAUUGUAAGCCCAAACUAUGCUAGGACAUUAUUUAUUACUUGAAGUCUCAUUAGCUGCAUUCUUAAAGGUGGAUCUCUUUGUAUCAAUCCUCAAAAUAUCAGGGUAUUAAAACAAUAAAAGUUAAUACUUAUUCUUUGUAUAUUUCUACUGCUGGUCCUCAAGGGGCUCUGCUCAUUGUAAUCAAAUAGGCACCAAAGGUGCAGCAGUCCCCAGCAUCUUUCCCUGUAGCCUUUGUGGUAUUGGGUAUCAGUGUUUGUCACGACGAAGGAGGACAACUUAGAGAAUUGUGCCCCUGCUGUUAGACGGAGUCUGACAAAAUCCAGACACAUAACUGUUUUAUGAGUAAAUUGCCAAUGCCAAUCACAUGAUCUAAAAUUAAUAUGGUGGGUACCAAAGGAGAGGCAGACUAUGUGUGUUAGUGAGAUCUGAUAGUGUCUGCCACAACACUUAAUAAUUUUUGGAGAAUUUUACCAUGGGCUUGACAUUUGAAUAUUCAAUUUAAACUACUUAUUUAUGAAAUAGUUAUAGGAAUAAUUAGGAACUUUAUGGCAACUCUAUGUUUUAAUUAACUUUCUAAGUGGUGAAAGAGUGAAUUAUUCAUAAAUUACUUCUGGAAACAGGACUCUUCUAAAAAGCAUGUAAGGGAACUUGAAGCAGCAUCUCAAUUUGUGCAAUAUGAUAAAGAAAAAAAACUGUGGGAUCCAGAAAACAAUACACAAUUACUUUUAUUUAUGGCUACCAGAACUUCAGGAAACCGACUAAUGUUUGUGCACAUAAUGUUUUUAUUAUGGAUCUAUCUGGGGCAUAUUGAACAUACAGUGCCCUCAAAAAUGGUCAGUUUUACUCAUGCCCAAUCCCAUAUAUUUUUUAGGGUAAUUUUUCUGGUCCAGUUAAGUUAGACCAGGACAUUUUCACUUGACAAAUCUGAGUAAACUUCUCUGGAAAAAAUUGUUUUUGACCAUUCGCCUAGAAUGAAUCUCUGGGUAAGGAAGAUGCAUAUAGUCGUAUAAUUUACUGUAGUUAUUUUGACACCUUUUCUUAACGACACACCACAGAUUUAUUGCUGGAUAUUUUUUUCCUUCCUAAGCCACUUGCCAUAUAGUUCUACUCUUCUCUAGCUCUAGGGAGGCUUCCUCAUACAGACUAGGUCAACAGAUUCCAUUCCACUGGCUCGUGGAUGGGUUUGGCUACCGAGAAGCAGUUAAGAGAAGAUCAGAAUUAUAGGGAGCAGGGAGUAGGAAAAGGUGAAGAAUUUAUUUUCCUGCUUCCCUGCUGAUCCCCUCCCAGGCUCCUACAUGUUGGUCACAUUUCUCUACCAAAUGGUAGUUCCUGUGGGGUUCUUGUAAAUUCACCUUCCUCUUUCCAUAGAGACAAAAGCUCCCUGCUUUCAUUCACCUUCGAGUACUGCAAACUUUUUUUUUUUUUUUUUUUUUCUGAGAUGGAGUCUCACUCUGUCGCCCAGGCUGGAGUGCAGUGGCACGAUCUCGACUCACUGCAAGCCCCGCCUCCCGGGUUCCCGCCAUUCUCCUGCCUCAGCCUCCCGAGUAGCUGGGACUACAGGCGUCCGCCACCAUGCCCGACUAAUUUUUUGUAUUUUUAGUAGAGACGGGGUUUCAUCGUGUUAGCCAGAAUGGUCUCGAUCUCCUGACCUCGUGAUUCGCCAGCCUCGGCCUCCCAAAGUGCUGGGAUUACAGGCGUGAGCCACCACGCCCAGCCGGGUACUGCAAACAUUUAAACAUUUUAAACGUUCCUCGAAGACAAUUUUUCCUUCCAGGACAAUGACUGAUACACCUUCUUAAGCUUACAACUGCAAAUAAGUCUCUGCCUAACAUAGCAUCUCUGCUAUACAGCCGGGAAUGUACUCCUACUCAAUGGGAUGGCUACACAAUGAAAUCAAUGAGUGACUGCACUUAAAAAAUGCCCAUUACAAUAUGAGCUAUGUCUUCCUGAAGGUGGCCUUUUAAUGUCAAAUGAGAUAAAGUAUGUAAAAAUGUUUUAUAAAUUUUAAAAUGUGAUAAAUAUUAUUUUGUGUGGAUGAUAAAUGUAGCUAUGGGUUCUAUUGACUGAAAGAUAAGCACUGCUCCUUCAUGAAUCAAACCAUUAAUUCCUGAUGGUGUUUAAUUAUUAUCGAACAUAUUUUUCUUCACAGGAGCUGUCAUUUAAAUGUGCUUGCCAACUAGCUUGUUUAUCAAAACAUUCCAGACCCUUUCAAAUUCUCAUUUACAUUGUUUCUUGUUUACCACACCCAUAAAUUUGUAUUACCAGCAUAUUUAACUAUCCGGCUAUUUUGGAGAUUGAAAAAAGAAGACCUGAUUUAUCAUGUGCAAUAUCUCACACAUCUGUCAUUUCUAUUCUACCGCAAUUCGAUGGAGUCUUGUUCUGUGGUCCAGGCUAGAGGGCAGUGGCAUGAUCUCGGCUCACUACAAGCUCUGCCUCCCGGGUUCACGCCAUUCUCCUGCCUCAGCCUCCUGAGUAGCUGGGACUACAGGCGCCCGCCACCACGCCUGGCUAAUUUUUUGUAUAUUUACUAGAGAUGGCUAGUGUUAGCCAAGAUGGUCUCGAUCUCCUGACCUCGUGAUCUGCCCACCUCAGCCUGCCAAAGUGCUGGGAUUACUGGCGUGAGCCACCGUGCCUGGCCAGCAUCCUCUAAUUAUUAUUCAUAGUUUGUGAAUUUAGGCCUACGUGAAUAAUAAUAUAAUAUUUACUAUGAUGUUACUAUCUACCAACCUUAUUUUUCUUUUCUAUAAAAUAGGAGCCAAAAUAAUAUUUAUGUCAUACCUUAUGAAGUUAAAAUAAAAUAUAACGAAUGAGGGGCUUAACAA